CGGAUACUAAAGUGACUAGCGUGUAACACGUGUAUUCAUUUAAUCUGUUCAUAUGUUUACAUGUCCGUGUGGUGUAUUGUAAUCAGUGUCUUUUUUUGUAACUAUUUAGCACAGGGCUCUUUAGUAACGGUAACAGUAGAAUUUCAGGUGGUCAAUUACGUCUUUAAAGACGUCAUGAACUGGGAAAACUAAAUUCUAUACUAUAAAAAUAUCCUGUAAUAUAAACUAUAAAUAUCCUGGUUUGUUGGUCUAAAAACAACAACUCAUGGAAUGUGUCAUUUUAUGAUUCAACAGUGUGACUAAACACAUCCUCCGUAGAUCAACGGCUGCUUCUACAUCACUGCUUAGCCCCGCCCACUGAUUCACACGUACUAGCCCCAUCUAACCCCGCACGAGGAGGUGUCAGUUCCUCGGCCUGCUCAUUUCCUCAAUGAAACUGUGAGAACAGCAGGCUCCUCUUGCUUGGAUGCCCAGUAAAGCAUGUGCAGUCUUCCCAGUUUGGAAAGCAUGUGGAGCCUUGGCUUGAAGUCGGAUGUUAUGUGAAGCUCUUUCCCUAUAGGGAGUUUCAUAAGCGUUGCUACCUCGUUCCUCUUCGUGGCUCUGUCCCUGGUAUUCACAUGCAGAACUACGUUCAAUAUAUUAAGCCACGUUAUGCCGACAUUUAGACACAUCUCUUGUCUUGAUUUUAUUUCCUGUAAGUGUAUGGAAACAGGCCUGAUUUAAAGGGAUAGAUCAUCAAAAAUGAAAACUACCACAUGAUUUACUCACCCCUAAGCUAAGUGUAUACAGCAUCUUUAUUUCCGAUGAAUGCAAACUGAGUUAUAUUACGCCCUUUCUUAAGCUUUUCAAUGGCAGAGAUUUUGAGUCCAUCCGUCAUAAAAGUACUUCAUUUGUUAAGAGCAAAGAAAAAAGCAGUCUGUUAUUGACAUUAAAAUCCUCCGGCGUUUCGCACUUGUUUUGCUUUGCUCUUCAGUGCUCAUCACUUCUCACAGGAGUUUACACCAUACGCCUACGUCAUUGCCUAGAGAUUACGGUUUAUAAAGUAAUAUUUUGCAUCUCAUUUUGCUUUUAUUAACCCCCAGGAGCUAUGUGGAGAACUUUGUAUAACGGAUGGAUGCACCUUGUGCUUCAAAAUUAAUACCAGCUGUAUCAGCUGUACCAACUGCAUUGUAUUCAUCUGAAAGAAGAAAGUCAUAUUCACCUAGGAUGGCUUGAGGGUGAGUAAAUCAUGGUCAUUUCAGUUUUUGGGUGAACUAUCCCUUUAAGAUGUUGAUCUUGAUGCAAUACAUAUAAAGUAUGAAAAAAAAUAUUUUAUGUGCAAUAUUUUGAUACAUUUCCGUUAGUUGCAUUAAAAUUAUAGACUACAAUGGCCCCCAAAAUGAUUUUGAUGCAAGCCAUAUUUAACCAUGUAUGAAUGUCUUGCAUUAAGAUAUAUAAAGCAAAGUUUUACUCAGUGUAAAGGAAAAAAUAUGGCACUUUUUUCAACAUAAACAUUUCACAAUAAUAGGUUUUCAAUGUUUCAAAUUAUAAAACAAUAUGUUACUCAAUAUUAGGUAAUUAAAAUGUUCACAUGAACUUGACGGGGGCUUACUUUACGAACGCACUACAAGGACCUUGAACAAGUUGCUCAUAUAGAUAUUUUAGUGACAUUUUUAGGUGUGACUUAAGCGAACAAAUACCAUUCGAAGUCACUUCCCUGUUUUUCUUCCUAGAAACAAAAUUAACUCAAAGAGUAAUUCAUAAAAUGUAAAAUGUUUAAUGUUUUUCAGUAACAAAAUCCAGUGAAAGACUUGCAGGCUGACAUUUGGAGUAACAGGACUCAGCAGCGGCCACAGCAUGGAUGACAGGUUGCAUGAAGUGUGUUCUGUGCGCUUUGUGCCACAGGUCUUCAUGUCACAGAAGCAGUUACAAGCAUCAUCUCUAGCCAUGUUGCCCUUUGGCUUAGUAUUGAACGAACUAAAGUUUGAAUGUUAAACAUUGAAAACAUUUUCUCAAAGUUUAGACAUCAAAACACUGGGAGAAAUAUCAUCGGGAGCUGUUAUAGAACAACGGGUUUAGCCCGCGACAGUUCUUGGGCCUAUAUACAUUAUACAAUAUCUUAAUAAAUUAUACUAUCGUUUUCAAAAAAUGAACGCCCUGAAAUAGAGACAAGAUUGAAAGCAUUAAUACGCAACAUUUUCGCAAUUCAAAAGUAUGAGUUCACCAUAACAAUAAAUAGAAGAGCUUUAGAGAGCAAAUAUAGCUACGUUUGUUCAUACAAAAUGGAUACGUUGCUGAAAUAUCCCCAUAUUAACUGGGUGACGUCCCUGUGGCUAUUGUGUAUUGUGCAUUUUAUUGCAUGUAUUCUGUUUUCUAGUUCACAUUUACUGCAUUUUCCUAUUGAACGUAGGAAGCUUAUGUGCUUGAAAUCCAGUGUAUUAUUACUAUCAUUAUUAUUAUUAUUAAUAUUAUUUGCAUUUACACAUACAUAGUCAAAUUCUCAGAGCUGGAUCUGUUAACAGAGGUGAAUGGUCCAGAUUUUAUUUGCAAAACAAAGCCUUCAUGAGAAUCAUUGCACAUAUGCUACAAUUGUACCCCUUCUUGUACCUGUCGUUUAAGGAGAGUUUCCUGAAUAGUAAAGGGAAGUUACUCCAAAGAUUCGAGUCCUUUUUUUUUUUUUUUUUUCUU
Puntigrus tetrazona (Sumatra barb) is the source of this 2667-nucleotide long non-coding RNA. RefSeq lists it as uncharacterized. The transcript has 2 exons. NCBI's taxonomy places the organism in Eukaryota, Metazoa, Chordata, Actinopteri, Cypriniformes, Cyprinidae. The record is from RefSeq and is a predicted model, not a curated record.